Molecule: ribosomal RNA, 230 nt
Filed under: uncultured bacterium
Lineage: Bacteria
Description: partial 16S ribosomal RNA
Rfam family: Bacterial small subunit ribosomal RNA
Source: RNAcentral
CGGGGUGGAGUAAUGUCUGGGAAACUGCCUGAUGGAGGGGGGUAACUACUGGAAACGGUAGCUAAUACCGCAUAAUGUCGCGAGACCAAAGUGGGGGACCUUCGGGCCUCUUGCCAUCGGAUGUGCCCAGAUGGGAUUAGCUAGUAGGUGGGGUAACGGCUCACCUAGGCGACGAUCCCUAGCUGGUCUGAGAGGAUGACCAGCCACACUGGAACUGAGACACGGUCCAG